This 140-nucleotide ribosomal RNA is filed under the name Stenotrophomonas maltophilia. RNAcentral's name for it is "partial ribosomal RNA". It matches the Rfam family "Bacterial small subunit ribosomal RNA", at positions 1392 to 1533 of the family's 1533-position model. The record is from RNAcentral. Lineage: Bacteria; Pseudomonadati; Pseudomonadota; Gammaproteobacteria; Lysobacterales; Lysobacteraceae.
GCCCGUCACACCAUGGGAGUUUGUUGCACCAGAAGCAGGUAGCUUAACCUUCGGGAGGGCGCUUGCACGGUGCUGCGAUGACUGGGGUGAAGUCGUAACAAGGUAGCCGUAUCGGAAGGUGCGGCUGGAUCACCUCCUUU